Molecule: RNA transcript, 6629 nt
Organism: Lathyrus oleraceus (garden pea)
Lineage: Eukaryota; Viridiplantae; Streptophyta; Magnoliopsida; Fabales; Fabaceae
Gene name: deoxyhypusine hydroxylase
Exons: 2
Source: RefSeq, a predicted model, not a curated record
GGUCUUUGAAUAACUCAUCACCACAUUUUCUACCUACCAUAAGCCACUUCAUUUGUUCUAUGUAUCAGAAAGUAUAGAAAGAUAGAGGAAUCUCAAGAGAAGAAGGGAAAGCAAGGCUAGUGGAGAAGAAGAAGAAGAAGGAAAACUUGAAACCAACACCAUCAUCUUCAUCCUCAUCUCAUCUUCAACAACUUCUCCUCUUCAAUUUCUUGAGGUGGGUUCUAGUUAGAAACUCUAGGUUUCUAGAAAGGUUAGGGUUGUAGAAUGUUAGACAAAUCAUGAUAAUCCAUGCUAUAUAAUGAAUAUGUUCUUGCUCUUAUUGACUUCCAUGAACAUGUGCUUUGUUGUGUUCUUAUAUUGGUUACGAUAACAUGAUUUGUUAUGGUUGUGGUGGAAUAAUUGGUUGUGAUUAUGACCUUGAAAAUCCUUGUGGUUGUGAGCUUGAAAUCCUUGAUUUAUAUGUGUAUGAGAACAUUUAAUAUGAUGGGUUGUUGUUGGAAGAAGUAGUGGUUGUCAUACCCCGAUUUUGGCCCUGAAAAUUUUUCCCCAUCAAUCACUCGUUUGCAUUCUUUCUUCAUUCACCUUCAUAUCCUUCAUUCAUGUUCAUGUUUACUAUUUCAUAUUUUCUAUGUUUUUCACAUUCCAAAUUUACAUUCAUAUUUUCUUCAUUCACAUUGAAAAAAUUCCAUUCAUAUUCAAGAAUUUCCACAUACUCAUUCAUAGUUCGAUUCCUUCGUUCAUUCAUUCAAUCAUAAUCAUCUAUGUACAUCGCAUAUGAAUAACUUAUAAAAAAAACAUCUCAUCACAUGAAUACAUGAAGUGUUUAGUAAUAUCAUACAGGAUUAUAUAUGUGCGGUUACCGUCUCCAUAAACCCCAACAUCUGAUAUAUCAUCUCACAGUUUUUGUUAAUCGCUAUGUCUGUUGAUUCGCUAAACGACGUCGCUUCGUGCUCCCCGAAGAUGGAAAAGUUCCUCUGUGAAUUUCUGUUGGACUCCACUCAACCCAUCUCUGAACGCUUCAGAGCCCUAUUCUCUCUUCGGAACCUCAAAGGCCCCGCUCCUCGCACCUCCCUUAUUCUCGCAACUAGAGAUUCAUCCAAUUUGUUAGCACAUGAAGCUGCGUUUGCAUUAGGUCAAAUGCAAGAACUGGAAGCCAUUCUUACAUUGACCUCGGUUCUUAAUGAUCUUUCUUUGCAUCCCAUUGUUCGCCAUGAGGCAGCGGAAGCAUUUGGCGCUAUUGGAUCAGAUAGUAAUGUUUCUCUUUUGAAGCGAAGUUUGGAUUCUGAUCCGGCUCAAGAGGUUCGAGAGACGUGUGAAUUGGCUCUUCAACGUAUUCUAAAUUUAAAAGAUCUUGCUGCUGCGGAUGAUUCGACUGCACCGGGUAUUUCUCCAUUUAUGUCUGUUGAUCCUGCAGCACCGGCCACGUCUUGUUCUUCGGUGGACCAAUUAAGGGAGUUACUUCUUGAUGAGGAAAAAGGGAUGUAUGAGCGAUAUGCAGCUCUUUUUGCACUUCGAAAUGACGGUGGAAACAAAGCCGUUGCUGCUAUUAUUGAUUCCUUGGGUUCCAAGAGUGCUUUACUAAAACAUGAGGUUGCAUAUGUUUUGGGCCAAUUGCAAGACAAAGCCGCUUCGGCUGCUCUAUCCAAUAUACUUCGAGAUGUGAAUGAGCAUCCAAUGGUUAAGCAUGAGGCUGCCGAAGCUCUUGGUUCAAUUGCAGAUGACCAAAGUGUAGCUCUUCUUGAGGAGUUUACGGCAGACCCGGAAGCUCUUGUCUCACAAAGUUGUCAAGUUGCUCUAAGCAUGCUAGAAGCUGAAAGAUCAGGGAAAUCUUUUGAGUUCUUGUUCAUGCGCAAUGCAACUGUGGUGUAAAUAUUUUCUUAUGUUUACACAUUCCAAUAAUGUUAAGAAAUGAAGAAUCUGCAUGAGAAUGAAGGGAGAAGGAUAAGUCAAGUGAGAAAGAUAUUAGUGAUAGUCAACCCGUUGAGGAACAGAAGUCUUGUAGUCCCACUAUUGAUCUAAAAGAAUCUCCACACCUUGAGCCACAACCACCUCCUGAUGAGUUGCUUUCAAUGGAAGAAGAUAUGGACAUUUGUGAUACCCCUCCUCAUGUCCCUGUGGUGACAGAUUUGUCAUCAGGAAAAUGGUUUUACCUUGAUUACGGAGGUGUAGAAAAUGGGCCUGCCAAAUUGUGUGACAUUAAGUUCCUUGUUAAUGAAGGGGUACUAAUGUCAGAUCACUUUAUCAAGCACUUGGAUAGUGACAGAUGGCUAAUAGUUGAAAAUGCGGUGUCGCCAUUGGCUGCUCAGAGUUUCCCGUCCAUUGUGUCAGAUACAAUAACUCAGCAUGUCCUCCUGCAGCAUCAAACGCAACGAGUUUUGCGUAAAUUCACCAAGUUUCGAUGUACUAAGAUGGCAUGAACAAAGAAGAAAAAGCUUACCGUAAGUGAAUGUCGGCGUUGUCACUACAGCAAACACAACUGUGGCCCUGCAAGAAUUAAACGAAAUCACAAUGCCCACUAUCAAAACCAGAUCAACAAGAAUCAGCACUUGGAAAGGAAGAAGAGCAAGAACAAGAUCAUUCAUUCAGUGUGAAGAUUUUUCUCUAGCAUGGUGGUUCUGUUUGGGAUGCAUGCUUCAGUUGUGCUUCAAAUCAAGUAGCUUAAGUUUGUUGACACUGCCAUUUUCUUUCUCUUAAUUUCGUAUGCUAUCUGGAAUCUUGAUUCAAAUAUUCCAUGGAAUUCUUGGAGGCUGGACUGCUUAUCUCAUCAGUGUCCUAUAUGUUGAGUACCGAACCGGAAAGGAAAAGGAAAAUGCUGCAGAGGAACACUGGCGGAAUUUAGCAGAAUAUAGGAAGUUUCUGAAAUCCUGUGAUUUUGUGAAGGUGAAUAGUCAUUGGCGAAAAAUCCAAGAUCGGCUAGAGGAUGAUGAUAGACACUUACUACUUGAAAAAAUUGACCGCUUGCUUGUUUACCAAGAUUAUAUUCGUGACUUGGAGAAGGAGGAAGAGGAACAGAAAAGGAUACAGAAGGAACGACUCCGUCGGGGUGAAAGGCAAAACCGUGAUGCAUUUCGCAAGUUGCUGGAAGAACAUAUUACUGAUAGAGUUCUUACUGCUAAAACACAAUGGCGAGAUUACUGCUUGAAGGUGAAAGAGUUGCCUCAAUAUCAAGCUGUUGCAUCAAAUACAUCUGGUUCUACCCCGAGAGAUUUAUAUGAGGAUGUCUUUGAAUAUCUUGAAAAGAAAUAUCAUUAGGCCAAGACGCACUCUUCUUGUUCGACCAAAUGAUUCCCUCGCAUGCCGAAACAAUGAUUCUGAAGCUAUCACUGUUGUUAAUCCUUCUCAAGAUGCAGAUGUUCACACCAAAGUUCCUCAAGGGGCCGAUGAUGAAAAGGCCAUUAAGUUGGAGAGUUUGUCUUCUUAUAUGAGUUCACUUGGAUUCACAUAAAUGGAAUAUGUUGAAGGCAACCAACAUGAAGCUUCAAUUGAUGAUUCAAAGCAAAUUAAAAUUCAAAAGGCUCGCCUGAAUUUAUAUCAUCAGUGAAGACAUUUUGUUUGCUCUUGGAACACUCUAUGUCAUUUGAAGGCUCUGUUGAGUUGCAUGUCACUUCUUCCAAAGCAUUGCUUAUAAUUGGAUCGCAUAUGCCAGAGGUGGUAGCAUCACAUUAUGCUCUCAAAGUUUCAUGGCUUAAGCAACUACUACUGAAUCAGGUAGAUUGGGACACUCGGGAAUCCAUUGCAUGUUUACUUGGAAUCGUGUCUUCUGCUCUUCCUCUGCCAGCUGUUACGGAAAAACCUAGCAAACAAAUUGAUGAACAAAUGUAGAACCACCAAACCAGAGUCUUGAGAAUACUACCCAUGUAUUUGUUGCACCUGACCGGCCAACUGUGAUUUAUAGUAGUAACAAAAAGUUACUCUAUAGUAAUGUAAAUCUGAAGGAAGUGAGUCACAUGUGCCCUUUCAACUCUGCUGCUUUUCCAGACAGUUUAGCAAUCGCAAAGGAAGAGGAAAAUGAGCCAACCAAGGGAAGGAUUCUUGUGUUUUCAGUUGAAGAGGGAAAGCUACAACUAAUUGCCGAAAAAGAAACAAAAGGAGAUGUUUACUGCUUGAAUGCGUUUAAUGGUAAAUUGCUUGCUGCUAUUAAUCAAAAGAUUCAGCUGUACAAGUGGGUGCUCCGGGAAGAUGGCACUCACGAAUUACAGUCUGAAUGCGGACACCAUGGGCACAUACUGGCUUUAUAUGUGCAAACCAGAGGAGAUUUUAUCGUAGUUGUUGAUCUGAUAAAGUGUCUAUAGUGCAUUGCUGGAAAUGUUUCUUUGCCCGUUAUUUCCAUAAUUGGUGCAAGAACAAUGCAUUAUAUGGCUUGCUCGUUGAUUCCUCUACUGUUGCUGUUGGUUUAAUCAGGAAAAAAUCAGUUUCACUUUUCGGUCUCUGGAAGAUAUUGAGCGGAUUGUAGAGAUUCAGAGGAAAUUAGCGAGCUCACAGGCAUUGUGGAUUUGUUUGAUGAUGAUAUUAAGUGUGAAAUUCUGAUCGAAUUGCUCAAGUGUGUCACGAGUUUCAGCCAACUGUUGGGCAAAACUGCCUCUUCUAUAUUUUAUGAAUCACUUUUAAUUGCACUGAUGAUCUCUUAUGAAGAUAUUGUUCAUUGUAUAGUGAAGGUUCUUGAAACUGGUUAUUGUAUAUCAGGUGCAGUGCUCCGAAGAUCUACAUCUGGGGAUCAUACAAUAUUCCUGCAAAAGGAACUAACAGAUCAUAGAAGUUUGAGAAAACUCUCUGUUGACAUGUUUUUGUCUCUUCAAGGCCCGUACAAAAAGCGUCUACAUGGGACAAGAUUUUAAAUGUAAUUGAGGGUUUACUAAAAUUUCUGGUUCCGCAGAAAGAAAUGCUUAAGUCUGAUACUGAAAUGUCAUCAAACAUAAAUUCCUCAAUCAUGGUACAUUCUUCAUAUCAUAUUGCAAAAGUGAUGUUUGAACCUGCCUGGGACUUUCUCCUGUUUUUAAGCUAUUUGGUGGACAUCAGCAGUCGGGUCCACUUGUCACCCGACGAUAUAACCAAAAUACAACUUGAGUUAGUUCCGAUGCUUCAAGAAAUUAUUUUUGAGUGGUUGGUCAUCAUCUUUUUGCCAUCACACCGGUUGCACUAGCUAUUACAGAGGACUUCCAUUCAAAACUUUCAUCAUUGCAAAUAGAUAAUAACACAGGGAAACCCAAUAUUAGGAGUCCAUAUCUUCUUAUAUUCGAAGGAUGUAUCUGAGAUAAAAUGUUUGCAAGGUUCGGCUCAUGGUCCACGACAAGAAGCAGCUCUAUGUCAUGCUGUAACAGAUGCGGACGGAAAGUUCUCAUUCAAUUCAAUACCUUGUGGAAGUUAUGAACCAGUUCCCUACUACAAGGGUAACUGGAUUUUCUGUUGGAGGCCGUGUAGUUGUUGGAAAUGACAUGGGAGUGGAGGGUGUUAUGGUCAUAGUUGAUGGUCAUGAAAGGUCUAUUACUGACAAUCAAGGAUAUUACAAGCUUGACCAAGUUACAUCAACACACUAUACCAUAGAAGCCCGAAACAAGCAUUACAAAUUCAAGAAGUUAGAGAAUUAUAUGGUAUUGCCAAAUAUGGUUUCAAUAGAAGACAUUGUUGCUGUUUCAUAUGAUAUUUGUGGUUUGGUUGGGAUGGUUAGUAGCAGUCAGAAAGCAACGGUGGCUUUGACUCAUGGACCUGAUAAUGUGAAGCCGCAAAAGAAACAAACUGAUGGAAAUGGAAAUUUCUGCUUUGAGGUUAUUCUUGGCUCUGGUUAAUGUCCGCGGUGCUGUGGUCUGCAAGGAAGAAUGCGAUCCAUCUGUAUAUGUGACUAUUGUGAGGCAGGGUGCUAAACAUAAUGAAACUAGGAAGACAAUUAGCUUGACCUCCGAUAGUAGUGAAUUUCUGUUUUCUGAUGUUAUUCCUGGAAAAUACAGACUUGAGGUGAAACACAGGUCCUCUGAAUCGCCGCACCUUCACCGCCAUUUUAAUCCAUGAUUCAAACAACACAAACACCCAAAAUUAGUUAAUUCCAGAACAAAUCUUUCAAUUAAAUGAGUUACAAAGGUGAAGUUUUUUUCUUACCCACAGUGAAGUUUUGGAAAUGAAGAGAAUUGAGGGAGGGACCACAAAGUUGAAUAUGGACAAAAACUUCCCAACCUCCAUACAGACACUUCCCACUACACUGAGACUACACAGCAGGAAACACAGCAGAGGAAAGAGAUUAAUGGCAUAUAAAAGGAGGAUCACGGUUCACAAAAAAACCUAGAGAGGAUUGGCGGCUACCAUUAAGAAAAGAAAAGGAGAGAAUUGAAGGCAACGCUUGUCUACAUUCACCUGUCGAGCUCGCCGCAACCGGUGGUUCUGAGCAGGAUAAGGGUAAGGGAAAGAUAGAGUGAUGUCUUGCUUACCUGAGGACUGGUGGCUUUUCUUCUGCUGUGUAGAUAUUUUUGAGAUCAUUGUCUAAUGAUCUAGAUCAGUAGUUUUAUUUUGGGCACUCUUAUGUACAUUUAUGGCAUAUUAUGUUAUUUUGGGCAUGUAUUUGUAUAUGUACACUGUGCUGCUAGGCACUUAUGUAUUUCAGUACUAGUAUUACACUUUGUAUAAUAUGUAUUCUAGACAUA